AGCCGGGCGGGUCGAACAAAUCGCAGAACCAGGGUCGGAGGGAGCUGCGGUCCAGACGGGGAGUGAUUUACACGCGAAUGGAGAAAGAGACAGUUGGGACACAGCCAUUCUGAAUGAAAGAUCUGAUCAGCCAGCUUGUAGUUCAACACCAACAGAAGCCGAUGACUCUCAGCCUCUCGCUAAAAAGAAGGUAUUGAAAGUCCGGCGUUCUAACAAACGGAGAAAAGAAAGUAAUGAAAGAUCUGAUCGGCCAGCCGAAGCCGGUGGUAAGAAAAAUUAAAAUAAAAUAAUUCUUAGUUUUAUUAUCAUAUAAUCAU
Cyprinodon tularosa is the source of this 317-nucleotide long non-coding RNA. RefSeq lists it as uncharacterized. Lineage: Eukaryota; Metazoa; Chordata; Actinopteri; Cyprinodontiformes; Cyprinodontidae. The record is from RefSeq and is a predicted model, not a curated record. The transcript has 3 exons.